UAUGUUGGGCCAAGGGAGGCUGAAAAAAAUGGCCUAAGCAUCUUUCUGCAUUUUGUACUCAGGUCCAGUAGCUAUGACAAAGGAAGAAAUUACACCUCAUCAGGAUGAAGUGCUGGAGCCAUACAGGAGAUAUAAAGGCCUUAUAAUUGACACAGUGGAAGAACAACGAAGAAGUGUAAGGCAUUUGUAGAGGAGCCUGGUCUC
Long non-coding RNA from Gymnogyps californianus (California condor), 204 nucleotides. RefSeq lists it as uncharacterized. The transcript is spliced from 3 exons. The record is from RefSeq and is a predicted model, not a curated record. Lineage: Eukaryota; Metazoa; Chordata; Aves; Accipitriformes; Cathartidae.